RNAcentral lists this non-coding RNA (28 nucleotides) under Mus musculus (house mouse). The record is from RNAcentral. Lineage: Eukaryota; Metazoa; Chordata; Mammalia; Rodentia; Muridae.
UUGGAAGCAGAUAGCCUUUGACUACAGU